Molecule: ribosomal RNA, 266 nt
Filed under: uncultured bacterium
Lineage: Bacteria
Description: partial 16S ribosomal RNA
Rfam family: Bacterial small subunit ribosomal RNA
Source: RNAcentral
GUCCACGCCGUAAACGAUGGAUGCUAGCCGUUGGGGAGCUUGCUCUUCAGUGGCGCAGCUAACGUAUUAAGCAUCCCGCCUGGGGAGUACGGUCGCAAGAUUAAAACUCAAAGGAAUUGACGGGGGCCCGCACAAGCGGUGGAGCAUGUGGUUUAAUUCGAGGCAACGCGAAGAACCUUACCAGCCCCUUGACAUCCCUGGAACCCUAGCCGAGAGGCAUGGGGGUGCCGCAAGGAGCCAGGAGACAGGUGCUGCAUGGCUGUCGU